Molecule: ribosomal RNA, 255 nt
Filed under: Limosilactobacillus reuteri
Lineage: Bacteria; Bacillati; Bacillota; Bacilli; Lactobacillales; Lactobacillaceae
Description: Lactobacillus reuteri partial 23S ribosomal RNA
Rfam family: Bacterial large subunit ribosomal RNA
Source: RNAcentral
GCAGGAAGAGAAAGAAAUAUCGAUUCCCUGAGUAGCGGCGAGCGAAAAGGGAAGAGCCCAAACCAACAAGCUUGCUUGUUGGGGUUGUAGGACUGAACAUUAGAGUUACCAAAGUGCGACGUAGUCGUAACAGUUGGGAAGCUGUGCCAUAGAGGGUGAAAGCCCCGUAGACGAAACGUCGCACUCUCUGUUCAGGAUCCUGAGUACGGCGGGACACGUGAAACCCCGUCGGAAUCCGCGAGGACCAUCUCGCAA